Long non-coding RNA from Lathyrus oleraceus (garden pea), 1113 nucleotides. RefSeq lists it as uncharacterized. Lineage: Eukaryota; Viridiplantae; Streptophyta; Magnoliopsida; Fabales; Fabaceae. The record is from RefSeq and is a predicted model, not a curated record. The transcript is spliced from 3 exons.
CAAGCAUAGCAGCAGCUGCUUAGGGGUGGUAAAUCGGAUACGGCACGCUGGGCAUGUCCGUUUUGCCCGUACUUUAGUUCGGGACGGGUCAAGGAUUUAGGCAUUCACCAUUUAAUGUGUCUGUCCCGUCCCAUUUUUUUCGUGGGUUUUUGCGGGCAGGUGUAUUUACAUCAAAUUUUGUAUUUUUAAGCUUAAAGAGUGUAGUGUCCGCAGGUUUUCCCGUCCCUCCCUCACUUUUUUGCGGGGCGGACCUAAGUCUCACAUCCUCAACUAUGAUUGUCCCCCUAUUUUUUUUUCGGGUUUUUGCAGGACGAGCCUAAACGGGUCGGGCAUGCCCGUUUGCCACCCUUAAUGAAGGUAUUGGGAAAGAAGAAUAGUGGUAAAAACACACGAGAAAGAAGAAGUAAAUUGCGGAUUCUCAAAGGCAAUUCUUCAAAAACGUGAUUCUCACGAAACAACAUAACCAAUUUGCAAUGACUAAUCAGCUCAUCCUCAAUCGGUUUCGGUUUGUUUGAUCAUCGGUUCAGUCGCAUUUCAGAUAUUUGUUUCGGUUCAGAAGUGUUUUUGGUUCAUUUAAGUUUGAUUCAUUCGUUUCAUUUCUGAGUUUUUGAUUUUGGUUUAAAUUAAAGCUACAACAAGUAUAUGUUAUCAUAGAAUAUAAUUGGAUGAAAGUUUACCGGUUCGAAUGAAGAAAAAGGCGGAAUUCGUUCUUACUCGCAAGGUGUUCGGUGAUGAUAAUGAUUAUGGAAUAUGGCAAUGAAGAGAAAUUGAAGAUUCAAGAUGAAAAUGGUGAUGAUGGAGAUUAAAGUUGGUUAUGUGAUUUUGGUGAUUUGGUGGAGAUGAAGGUUUAUUCAAGGUUGAAGCUUGGUUGAAGAACGAUGAAGAAUAAUGUGAUAUUUUGGUGGAUUGUGAAGUUGUGAAUUUUUAGAGUGGGUUUGUAAAGUGUAAUUAGUCUUUUCAUGGUGAGAAUGAUGAAUUUAAAUAGGAAUAAAAUUGAGGGAAAGUUAGUUAUGGAAGAUGAUUCAUAGUCAUUGGAUAGUGAUCAUUGUGAUGAGUUUAAGAGUGGCUGAGAUUGAAUUUUAAAAUUGUGUUAGUUUUGAGUGAUUAAGGUAG